Eucalyptus grandis is the source of this 2557-nucleotide RNA transcript. It is a transcript of the gene named transcription factor bHLH121, with no coding region annotated. The record is from RefSeq and is a predicted model, not a curated record. The transcript has 6 exons. Lineage: Eukaryota; Viridiplantae; Streptophyta; Magnoliopsida; Myrtales; Myrtaceae.
AAAUUAGUGUAUGUAAUAUUCCUGCGAAACGGACAGAUAGGACUUUCCUUUAAACCGAAAAUGGGUGAUGCACUUCUUUUUUGGAGUAUGAAACCUGAUGGUUCUCUGGAUAAAUCCAGUUUGCAUGGUGGUUGCCCUGUUAUUAAGGGGAACAAACAGUCAUCUACUAAGUGGUUGCGUGUGCAUGAGUACAAAGUUUGAGAUACUGAGCAGAAGGUCCAAAAGUUCGUAAAUUCCUACUGCUGUAACAUGUCUGAAUUCUCAGGUGAAGGCCCCAUCUUCCGGGUCUCAUGUCCACCUUUCACGUCAGCAACCAGCAUGCCAGUACACGUGAAUAUGGGACUCCACCACCUCAAUAAUGAAUUUCAUGCUCUCUCUCUCUCUAAAUGCGUUUGUCUUUAUAGCUUUGAAAGAGAUCCUCUCUUAGGCGAAAUUCUACACCACCAUCUUACACUAGAAAGAGGCAAACUGCUUGAGUAGAUCACAUUUCGGGACACAGUUGAAAAAUCUUGCAGAUUUCUAAAAUCCAAAUCAUUUGUCCGAUGAAAACCGAACCCAAAGCUUUUUGAACAGAAUGAGAGGCCAACAAUGGUUUGUCCACAUAUCAUGAACGCCAUCGCAGACCUUGCAAUGUUAAUUUAUCUGCCGCCCACAGAGUUAGAAUGAUAAUCAUCCAAGGACGCAGAAAUCGUCCCAUUUAUUCCCCCAAUUUAUUCCCAUAACAGCUGGAGGAAGAACUCUCCGACAUAGAGAUUUACUCCAGCCAUGUUGACCGGAUGGGAUGGAAAUGCUAGGAACACCGAGAAGAGCCGGCUGUUGAACCUGCCUGGUCGCUCAAUGUCUACCUCCAAUCAAGUUCCUGAUGACGUACAGCAGGAUGCCCCCAUGAUCGAAAUAGGCCAGCUCAACCUACAUAUGGAAGCCACCGAAACUUAGCAAGGAGAUGAAAAGAUGAUGAAUCUUCCAAGGAUAUACAGAAGUGACAGAUCAAUAUCGUUACCUCUCUGUUAAACCGUAUUGUGCACACAAAUGACUUGCCAUCAUCUCAGGGCUCCAUUCUCUCGGCGCACUUCUUCCUAAAUCGCGCUCUCUCCCGACGGCCGAUUUCGCUCGCCUCUCUCCGUCCCCCGACUCGCGACCGAGAAGCAAUCAUAUGUUCGCAUCUUUGUUUUGGGGGAGAAAGCUUGACCUAAAUCUGCGAUAAGAAGUUCACUGGUUUAUUGCUUCUGAUUCUAAGCGCAGCAACGCGAGAAGUGAAACUGCGGCUCUCUCUCUCUCUACCCUUGUCCGGUUUUUCCGUUCUUGGCAAAUUCGAAGAUGAGCCCACUUCUGGAUACAUGAUCUUAGGCCGACCCGUCAAGUCGAAGCCCGACGUAAUCUCGCUGCUUCGGUCCACCGAGCUGUUGAAUCGCUUGUGUCUGGGGGGUUUCAAGAUUUUCCGGGGGGGCAAUCGCCUGUUCCGUCAUUGCAGACUUCCAGGUGAGAAGAAAUGUGCCCACAAUAAUCACCCCAACACCGAACCGCCUCCUUUGUCCUCUCUCGAUCCUGAUUGACCUAAGAAUGACAAGGCAACUAUUCUUACGGACACAAUCCAGGUGCUGAAGGAUUUAACCGCGGAAGUUAACAAAUUGAAAGCUGAAUGUACAGCUCUUAUUGAAGAAUCUCGUGAGCUGAUGCAGGAGAAGAAUGAGCUCACAGAAGAGAAAUCAUCUUUAAAAUCUGAAGUUGAAAAUCUUAAUGUCCAGUACCAGCAAAGGAUGAGGGUUAUGUACCCUUGGGCUGCCAUGGAUCCAUCCGUCGUCAUGGGUCCAGCCUACUCAUAUCCAGUUCCAAUACCCGUCACUCCAGGUCCAAUACCCAUGCACUCACAACUUCAGCCUUUCCCUUUCUUUGGAAAUCAGAAUGCAAGUGCUAUUCCCGCUCCGUGUUCUACCUUUAUCCCAAAUUCAAUGCCUGCCAAUCCCACAUUUGAACAGCAGUCAACCCAAUAUGCUUCCAGUUCUCACGUGUCAAAUAAAAAAGACUCCAAAAGCAGGUCUUCAGAUCAUCAAAGGGGCAGCAUUGCAGAGCAAGACGAAGAUUCAAAUGGCAUGGCAACAGACCUUGAACUUAAGAUGCCUGGAACAUCAUCACAGCAGGACUUGACGUCCGGAGAAAAGAAGGGCAAGCAGACCCAGAGGAAGGAGAUUAGUAUUUUACUGAUGGGAGCUCGUCAAGCAAGCUUUCCUCAUCUCAGGCUUUUCCAGAUAGUUCCUCCAAUAGUGUUAGUGACAACCCAAAGUCCAGUAGAUGAAGAGUUAAGUCCAGAAAAUCUUAAUGCCACAAUUUUCUUUCCUUUUACAGGCCUAACUCAUUUUCUAGUCCUUUCGUAGUUUGUACCCUAGUUAACCGAGGCUGGUCAGUUGUAUAUUAUGUUGCGUUUGCUUAACUUACAGGGAAUUUUUUUAGUUUAUACAGAUUUCAGAGCAUAUGCCUGAAACUUGAACAAUGAAGGGCACAUUCAUUACUUUUUUAAGGGUUUAGCUCCAGCAACCAUGACAUAAUUGAUUGGAGCUCA